GCUGGGGUUGGGGCUCAGAGGUAGAGCACUCACCUAGCACGUGUGAGGCACUGGGUUCUAUCCUCAGCACCAGGU
This 75-nucleotide transfer RNA is filed under the name Marmota monax (woodchuck). Its description in RNAcentral is "tRNA.Ala". It matches the Rfam family "tRNA". Rfam says of the family: Transfer RNA (tRNA) molecules are approximately 80 nucleotides in length. Their secondary structure includes four short double-helical elements and three loops (D, anti-codon, and T loops). Lineage: Eukaryota; Metazoa; Chordata; Mammalia; Rodentia; Sciuridae. The record is from RNAcentral.